GUAGGUGGCAAGCGUUGUCCGGAAUUAUUGGGGCGUAAAGCGCGCGCAGGCGGUUCUUUAAGUCUGAUGUGAAAGCCCACGGGCUCAACCGUGGAGGGUCAUUGGAAACUGGAGAACUUGAGUACAGAAGAGGAAAGCGGAAUUCCACGUGUAGCGGUGAAAUGCGUAGAGAUGUGGAGGAACACCAGUGGCGAAGGCGGCUUUCUGGUCUGUAACUGACGCUGAGGCGCGAAAGCGUGGGGAGCAAACAGGAUUAGAUGCCCUGGUAGUCCACGCCGUAAACGAUGAGUGCUAAGUGUUAGGGGGUUUCCGCCCCUUAGUGCUGCAGCUAACGCAUUAAGCACUCCGCCUGGGGAGUACGGCCGCAAAGGCUG
Molecule: ribosomal RNA, 374 nt
Filed under: uncultured organism
Description: partial 16S ribosomal RNA
Rfam family: Bacterial small subunit ribosomal RNA
Source: RNAcentral